GGAACAGAACGUUUGUCUGUCGUAUUAACCCUUAGCGAAGGAGGGCACUGGACCCCAGACAUGCUCUUUUGCAACUGCAAGCAAAUUCUCCAGGAUUUGCAUUGUGUGUGUGUGUGUUUUUAAAAAGAAACCCCUAGUCAGGCAAAGACCUAAAUGGCUGCCACAUGGGGGAUGGAGCAAACUUAUCUCCUCCCGCUCCAGAAAGUAGGACCUGAUCCAAUGCAUUCAAGCGACGAGAAAGGGGAAACGGACUCAACCUCAAGAAGAACUUUCUGACAGUGGGAGCAGCUCCACAGUAAAACAGACUUAAUGGGUGUAGCCGGGGUGUUAUGUGUGUGCAGCUCCCCCCCCCCCAAAAUCAAGUGAAUGAAUGAAAAGAUUCCGACAGUUUCUCCUGAGCACUUGGGGUCCAAAGAAAGAAUUUUAAAACAACGGUUGAGACAUUUCAUUCAGAAUCCGCUACGGAGAAUGACAGAUCUGGCAUCCCACUAAUGAUUCUGGUCUCCAUCAUCCCUGACCACUGGUUUUGCUGGCUGGAGCUGUCAAGACUCCGACAAGACUUUUGGAGAGACAACACAACGUCGAUUUCUUUGCCAUUGCCAAUAUAAGGGGGUUUGGAGGGGGAUUCAAGUUACAAGAAAGGAGAUUCCGACUGAACAUCAGGAAAAACUUUCUGGCGGUAAGAGCUAUCAAAGUAAUAUUCAAUAGUACAUUAGAAU
Podarcis muralis (Common wall lizard) is the source of this 719-nucleotide non-coding RNA. Lineage: Eukaryota; Metazoa; Chordata; Lepidosauria; Squamata; Lacertidae. The record is from RefSeq and is a predicted model, not a curated record.